UGCUGUCAGAAGCCACAACAACAUCAGCUCUCAUGUAAAGACUCUCACUGUCCAGAGUAAAAGAGGACAAUGGACACCAGCAGCAGCUGCAGGAGUCUGUGCUGCUCUCCUGGUUAUAAUACCCCUCUCUGUCUUCUGCUGGAUCAGAAAGAAGAGGACUUCAGGUCAACCUCCAACAACAGAAACCUCAGUCCACAUGGAGCAGUUAAACCCUGGUCCUGUGUAUGAGGAGGUCUCAGCUCCACCAACAGAUUAGAAUGAUCUGGUCUACAGCAGAGUCCACUUCCCUCAGAACCACACAGAUCCUCUCUACAGCAGAGUCCAGCCACAUCCAGAUCCAGAACCGGAUCAUGUGCUCUACGAUGCUGUGAACUUCAGACCCAACAGGACCGCUGAGUGAACUUCUGUUGUCUUUACUGUUGAGUCCCUCUACUUUGUCACCUUGCUCAUGAGGACGAGCAGCAGUGUUACAUAUUAUCUAUAUUAUUUCUCCAUCUGAUAGACUGAGAGCUGCAGACCAGACAUCUCUGGUCUAAACACACAUUACCCAUGAACCUUGCUUAAUACAUAUAUUUUCAAUUUAACUCAGCUAUUAGCUUCAGUGU
This is a long non-coding RNA of Anoplopoma fimbria (sablefish), 605 nucleotides long. RefSeq lists it as uncharacterized. The record is from RefSeq and is a predicted model, not a curated record. NCBI's taxonomy places the organism in Eukaryota, Metazoa, Chordata, Actinopteri, Perciformes, Anoplopomatidae. The transcript is spliced from 3 exons.